UGCCAGCCGCCGCGGUAAUACGGAGGGGGUUAGCGUUAAUCGGAAUUACUGGGCGUAAAGCGCGCGUAGGCGCAAUGUUAAGUCUCAUGUGAAAGCCCUGGGCUUAACCUGGGAAUGGCAUUCGAAACUGCAGAGCUAGAGUAUGGUAGAGGGAAGUGGAAUUUCCGGUGUAGCGGUGAAAUGCGUAGAUAUCGGAAGGAACACCAGUGGCGAAGGCGACUUCCUGGGCCAAUACUGACGCUGAGGUGCGAAAGCGUGGGGAGCAAACAGGAUUAGAUA
RNAcentral lists this ribosomal RNA (279 nucleotides) under uncultured bacterium. RNAcentral's name for it is "partial 16S ribosomal RNA". It matches the Rfam family "Bacterial small subunit ribosomal RNA", at positions 506 to 784 of the family's 1533-position model. The record is from RNAcentral.